This 481-nucleotide ribosomal RNA is filed under the name uncultured bacterium. RNAcentral's name for it is "partial 16S ribosomal RNA". It matches the Rfam family "Bacterial small subunit ribosomal RNA", at positions 28 to 507 of the family's 1533-position model. The record is from RNAcentral.
GAUGAACGCUGGCGGCGUGCUUAACACAUGCAAGUCGAACGAAACGUUCAGGCCUGAUUGCUUCGGUUGGGAGGUCUUUAUGUCUGUGUCGCGUACGUGUGAUGCACUUGUGUGUAACCUGCCUUCUAGUGGGUGAUAGCAACUCGAAAUAGGUGGUAAUACCGCAUAGGGGCACAAUGUUACAUGACGUGGUGUGAAAAACUCCGGUGGUAUAAGAUGGUCCCGCGUCUGAUUAGCUAGUUGGUGAGAUAAAAGCCCACCAAGGCGAGGAUAGGUAGCCGACGUGAGAGGGUGACCGGCCACAUUGGGAGUGAGACACGGCCCAGACUCGUACGGGAGGCAGCAGUGGGGAAUAUUGCACAAUGGAGGAAACUCUGAUGAAGCGACGGCGCGUGAGUGAAGAAGUAAUGCGGUAUGUAAAGUUCUAUCAGCAGGGAAGAUAGUGACGGUACCUGACUAAGAAGCCCCGGCUAAAUACGUG